This is a long non-coding RNA of Pipra filicauda (Wire-tailed manakin), 375 nucleotides long. RefSeq lists it as uncharacterized. The record is from RefSeq and is a predicted model, not a curated record. Lineage: Eukaryota; Metazoa; Chordata; Aves; Passeriformes; Pipridae. The transcript is spliced from 3 exons.
UUAGAGAGGGUCUGAAAGCCAAACAAGUUGGGAGCAGGGGAAAGACACAAAAGCUGCCAAUAUUCAAUAAACAGGAAGAAAGAAACAGUGAAGCCACACAGAGACCUCAAGGCUGUGCACAGGAUAUGACUUUUCCUUGCAGCCUUCUUUCAUUCGUGUUUGCAGCUAAUAAGGAUAAAAUCCUCAUCUCCAUUGACCCUGGGAAAGCAGAAAGGAAUCUACUUGCUGUCCCCAGUAGGAGUUUCAUGGUAACAGUUCCACACUGUACCUGUUACUAAGGCCUUUCAGUGACCGAGAUUUCACAGCCCCCAUGCAGUCUAAUCCAGCAUACGUCUGUUCUCACUGCUGGAGUCACUCCUAAGCUUUGACCUGAAC